RNAcentral lists this ribosomal RNA (466 nucleotides) under uncultured bacterium. RNAcentral's name for it is "partial 16S ribosomal RNA". It matches the Rfam family "Bacterial small subunit ribosomal RNA", at positions 28 to 507 of the family's 1533-position model. The record is from RNAcentral.
GAUGAACGCUGGCGGCGUGCUUAACGCAUGCAAGUCGAACGAUGAAGCCCAGCUUGCUGGGUGGAUUAGUGGCGAACGGGUGAGUAACACGUGAGUAACCUGCCCUUGACUCUGGGAUAAGCCUGGGAAACUGGGUCUAAUACUGGAUAUGACUUCUCAUCGCAUGGUGGGGGGUGGAAAGAUUUAUUGGUCUUGGAUGGACUCGCGGCCUAUCAGCUUGUUGGUGAGGUAAUGGCUCACCAAGGCGACGACGGGUAGCCGGCCUGAGAGGGUGACCGGCCACACUGGGACUGAGACACGGCCCAGACUCCUACGGGAGGCAGCAGUGGGGAAUAUUGCACAAUGGGCGGAAGCCUGAUGCAGCAACGCCGCGUGAGGGAUGACGGCCUUCGGGUUGUAAACCGCUUUCAGUAGGGAAGAAGCGAGAGUGACGGUACCUGCAGAAGAAGCGCCGGCUAACUACGUG